GAUGAACGCUGGCGGCGUGCUUAACACAUGCAAGUCGAGCGAACAGACGAGGACCUUUCUCCUCUGACGUAAGCGGCUGAUGGCUGAGUAACAGGUGGAUGACCAACCUAUAAGUCUGGGAUAACGUAGGGAAACCGGACCUAUGACCGGGUAAGAUGAUGAACCGUAUGGUUCAACUGUUAAAGAAGGUCUUGCUGUAAAUUCUAGAGGUAUCAGCGCCGCAUUAGCUAGUUGGUAAGGUAACGGGUUACACAGGCAACGAUGCGUAGCCGACCUGACCGGGUGAUCGGCCACACUAGAACUGAGACACGGUCCAGACUCCUACGGGAGGCAGCAGUAGGGAAUCUUACGCAAUGGGGGAAAGCCUGACGGAGCAACGCCGCGUAAGUGAUGAAGGUCUUCGGAUCGUAAAACUCAGUUAUAAGGGAAGAACAAAUGUGUAAGUAACUAUGCACGUCGUGACGGUACCUAAUCAGAAAGCCACGGCUAACUACGUG
Molecule: ribosomal RNA, 497 nt
Filed under: uncultured bacterium
Lineage: Bacteria
Description: partial 16S ribosomal RNA
Rfam family: Bacterial small subunit ribosomal RNA
Source: RNAcentral